CAGCACCUCAAGUGGUCAGGAUGAUUAUUGGGCCUAAAGCAUCCGUAGCCUGCUUUGUUAGUUUUCGGUUAAAUCCAUACGCUCAACGUAUGGGCUGCCGGGAAUACUGCAAAGCUAGGGAGUGGGAGAGGUAGACGGUACUCGGUAGGAAGGGGUAAAAUCCUUUGAUCUAUUGAUGACCACCUGUGGCGAAGGCGGUCUACCAGAACACGUCCGACGGUGAGGGAUGAAAGCUGGGGGAGCAAACCGGAUUAGAGACCCGAGUAGUCC
Molecule: ribosomal RNA, 270 nt
Filed under: uncultured archaeon
Lineage: Archaea
Description: partial 16S ribosomal RNA
Rfam family: Archaeal small subunit ribosomal RNA
Source: RNAcentral